RNAcentral lists this ribosomal RNA (256 nucleotides) under uncultured bacterium. RNAcentral's name for it is "partial 16S ribosomal RNA". It matches the Rfam family "Bacterial small subunit ribosomal RNA", at positions 524 to 776 of the family's 1533-position model. The record is from RNAcentral.
UACGGAGGAUGCAAGCGUUAUCCGGAAUGAUUGGGCGUAAAGCGUCCGCAGGUGGCUAUGUAAGUCUGCUGUUAAAAGAGUCUGGCUCAACCAGAUAAAGGCAGUGGAAACUACAUGGCUAGAGUGCGUUCGGGGCAGAGGGAAUUCCUGGUGUAGCGGUGAAAUGCGUAGAGAUCAGGAAGAACACCGGUGGCGAAAAGCGCUCUGCUAGGCCGCAACUGACACUGAGGGACGAAAAGCUAGGGGAGCGAAUGGG